RNAcentral lists this ribosomal RNA (615 nucleotides) under Triticum aestivum (bread wheat). RNAcentral describes it as "partial small subunit ribosomal RNA". The record is from RNAcentral. Lineage: Eukaryota; Viridiplantae; Streptophyta; Magnoliopsida; Poales; Poaceae.
AUGGCUCAGCUGUUCAGCUUCUUCUUCGUACUACUCAUCGCUGCUGCCGAGUCCGUGCAGGGCGCUGGCGCUGGUGUUGGGCUCGUUCCGCCGGUUCCAAUUGGUAAGAGGUACAUCGUCGGUGGCGCGGACGGGUGGCGCGUGCCGCCGAAGGAGAAUAAGGACAUGUACAUCAAGUGGGCCUCCAGCAUUCAGUUCUUUGUCGAGGACUCUAUUGAAUUCAUGUACAAGAACGACUCGGUCGGGAAGGUGAACAAGUACGCGUACUACCACUGCAACUGGACGACACUGGCCCCGACACCGCCCGUCAAGGACGGCAGCUCGCUCUUCCUCUUAGACGCCCCGGGGUUUGCCUACUUCGCGAGCGCCGACGUCAAGCACUGCAAGAAGGGCCAGCGCCUCAUGCUCAACGUCAAGGCCCUGCCAGCGCCGGUUCCGUCAACUGAUAUUUCAAGCCCUCCUAGCCCUGCUCCGCCUGCGAUUGCACCUGGACCGGCCCCUGGAGAGCCCGUAAUGGACAGCGGCACCGCAGUAGUGGCCUCGUCACAUGGGCGCGCCUUGAUGUUGGUGGUUUCUAGCACAACACUUGCAUUGAUGGGGACGAUUCGGGCCUGA